ACCGAUGGUCCUCCUUGCAGAAAUCGUCCAGACGUUUAUUUUGGCCCUACAAACCAUAUGGAUGAUGGAAUAUAUGAAGCCGUUGCAGGAAGUGACUUUGUCAUUACUAGGGUUGCAUUUCGAGACAACUCUUCAAAUGUCUACAUAAAUGACCGUGGAAGUAAUUUUACAGAGGUCACUAAGAAAUUGAAAGGAAAAUGAGUGGACUUGGACAACUAUCGAUUUUUUAUUCUUCAGGGUAAAGUCGAGCAAAUUUCUCUAAUAAAGCCAAAGAUUUGUAUUUUCAGCAUUAUUGUAAUUGUAAUUGAUUGAAUAAAGGAUUGUAAUUGAUUGUAAU
This is a long non-coding RNA of Magnolia sinica, 337 nucleotides long. RefSeq lists it as uncharacterized. The transcript is spliced from 3 exons. NCBI's taxonomy places the organism in Eukaryota, Viridiplantae, Streptophyta, Magnoliopsida, Magnoliales, Magnoliaceae. The record is from RefSeq and is a predicted model, not a curated record.